Molecule: ribosomal RNA, 407 nt
Filed under: uncultured bacterium
Lineage: Bacteria
Description: partial 16S ribosomal RNA
Rfam family: Bacterial small subunit ribosomal RNA
Source: RNAcentral
AUUGAACGCUGGCGGCAGGCCUAACACAUGCAAGUCGAGCGGAGCGGCGGACGGGGGAGUAAUGCCUAUGAAUGUGCCUGUUCGUGGUGGAUAACGUCCGGAACCGGGCGCUAAUACCGCAUACUAUCAGAUUAGCCUAGGUCGGAUUAGCUAGUGGGUGGGGUAAAGGCCUACCAAGGCGACGAUCCGUAACUGGUCUGAGAGGAUGAUCAGUCACAUGGGAACUGAGACACGGCCCAGACUCCUACGGGAGGCAGCAGUGGGGAAUAUUGGACAAUGGGCGAAAGCCUGAUCCAGCCAUGCCGCGUGUGUGAAGAAGGUCUUAGGAUUGUAAAGUACUUUAAGUUGGGAGGCGUUACCCACAGAAGAAGCACCGGCUAACUUCGUGUCAGCAGCCGCGGUAAUAC